Molecule: ribosomal RNA, 505 nt
Filed under: uncultured bacterium
Lineage: Bacteria
Description: partial 16S ribosomal RNA
Rfam family: Bacterial small subunit ribosomal RNA
Source: RNAcentral
GACGAACGCUGGCGGCGUGCCUAAUACAUGCAAGUAGAACGCACAGUUUAUACCGUAGCUUGCUACACCAUACACUGUGAGUUGCGAACGGGUGAGUAACGCGUAGGUAACCUGCCUGGUAGCGGGGGAUAACUAUUGGAAACGAUAGCUAAUACCGCAUAAUAUUAAUUAUUGCAUGAUAAUUGAUUGAAAGAUGCAAUUGCAUCACUACCAGAUGGACCUGCGUUGUAUUAGCUAGUAGGUGAGGUAACGGCUCACCUAGGCGACGAUACAUAGCCGACCGGAGAGGGUGAUCGGCCACACUGGGACUGAGACACGGCCCAGACUCCUACGGGAGGCAGCAGUAGGGAAUCUUCGGCAAUGGACGAAAGUCUGACCGAGCAACGCCGCGUGAGUGAAGAAGGUUUUCGGAUCGUAAAGCUCUGUUGUAAGAGAAGAACGGGUGUGAGAGUGGAAAGUUCACACUGUGACGGUAUCUUACCAGAAAGGGACGGCUAACUACGUG